GUCAAACUUUAGUUAAGAGAAAUACGUAGCAGGAAAUACACGCCAGCAGCAUUACGAGUGGUGAAAUACAGAAAUAAAUACCUCUGCCUGUGUGUCUUAAAAUCGAAAUACUAGUGCUAAACAGGGAUUAGAGACCCCUUUAUACAAGUGCUUAAUUGUACUGCGGAGUACUAAGACUUUCAAAGUUAAAACUUAAACAACAUGGCGGUAACUUCAAUUUAGGGGAACUUACCUUGUAAAUGAUAACCACCAAGGUCAAGCAACUACUGAAAAAUCUUGUAUGCCGUCGUCGCCAGGUGGCACUUAAUGUUCCACCAAGAUAGCUACCUUAAAAGACAGAUCAAGGUGCAGACGAUUUAGUAGUAGUGGCGAGUUACAGUUUCGAUUAUUAACGGACAUACUAUGUAAUUAACAUGCUGAAGAAGGACUUAACAGUAAUAGAAACUAUCAUUAGUUUAUGAACUUUAUGGGGUGUGCACAA
This 481-nucleotide ribosomal RNA is filed under the name Sauroconcha marshalli. Its description in RNAcentral is "partial 12S ribosomal RNA". Lineage: Eukaryota; Metazoa; Mollusca; Gastropoda; Stylommatophora; Camaenidae. The record is from RNAcentral.